RNAcentral lists this ribosomal RNA (495 nucleotides) under uncultured bacterium. RNAcentral describes it as "partial 16S ribosomal RNA". It matches the Rfam family "Bacterial small subunit ribosomal RNA", at positions 28 to 523 of the family's 1533-position model. The record is from RNAcentral.
GAUGAACGCUAGCGGGAGGCCUAACACAUGCAAGCUGAGCGGUAUUGUUUCUUCGGAAACGAGAGAGCGGCGUACGGGUGCGGAACACGUGUGCAACCUGCCUUUAUCAGGGGGAUAGCCUUUCGAAAGGAAGAUUAAUACUCCAUAAUAUAAUAGAUGGCAUCAUUUAUUAUUGAAAACUCCGGUGGAUAGAGAUGGGCACGCGCAAGAUUAGAUAGUUGGUGAGGUAACGGCUCACCAAGUCGAUGAUCUUUAGGGGGCCUGAGAGGGUGAUCCCCCACACUGGUACUGAGACGCGGACCAGACUCCUACGGGAGGCAGCAGUGAGGAAUAUUGGACAAUGGGUUAGCGCCUGAUCCAGCCAUCCCGCGUGAAGGACGACGGCCCUAUGGGUUGUAAACUUCUUUUGCACAGGGAUAAACCUAUCUACGUGUAGAUAGCUGAAGGUACUGUACGAAUAAGCACCGGCUAACUCCGUGCCAGCCGCCGCAGUAA